AAGAAAUUAUAGAUCGAUAAUCAUUCAGCUGGUUGUCAAAUGAAGGAAGAGCUCAAAUUCUCCCUUGCAAACCCUAAAAUUAAUAGAGUGCCACACAAAUGGAGAAAGAUUGAUAUGUCAGAAAGAAGAGAGAACCCUAAACCCUCCCCAGUUCCACACCCCACAGUUCUUCCUCCCGUCGUCCCAACAUCACCACCUUCAUCCCUAAACCCUCCUCAGCUCCUUCAGUGCCUUUUCCUCAUCAUUUUCCUUCUGAAGGUUGGCCAAAUCGGACUCGUCGUACUCCUUCUUGGCCUCGGGUGCCUCCAAGGACUUUGCUAUUCCACCUUGCUUGGAAGACAUGGCUGUGAUCUAGGGCAAAAGGCUUGCUCGGUUGGAAGACGCAGCAACCUUGUUUAGAAGUUUUAAAUUUAUUUUUUUUAAUGUUUAAUUUAUUUACUUUUAAUAUUUACUUUUUUCUUUAUUA
Long non-coding RNA from Pyrus x bretschneideri (Chinese white pear), 466 nucleotides. RefSeq lists it as uncharacterized. NCBI's taxonomy places the organism in Eukaryota, Viridiplantae, Streptophyta, Magnoliopsida, Rosales, Rosaceae. The record is from RefSeq and is a predicted model, not a curated record. The transcript has 2 exons.